UAAUCCAUGCCGAACUUAGAAGUGAAACGCUGUUACGCCGAUGGUAGUGUGGGGAUUCCCCAUGUGAGAGUAGGUCACCGCCAGGU
RNAcentral lists this ribosomal RNA (86 nucleotides) under Bisgaardia hudsonensis. Lineage: Bacteria; Pseudomonadati; Pseudomonadota; Gammaproteobacteria; Pasteurellales; Pasteurellaceae. The record is from RNAcentral.